This 75-nucleotide transfer RNA is filed under the name Clostridiaceae bacterium. RNAcentral describes it as "tRNA-Glu". It matches the Rfam family "tRNA". Rfam says of the family: Transfer RNA (tRNA) molecules are approximately 80 nucleotides in length. Their secondary structure includes four short double-helical elements and three loops (D, anti-codon, and T loops). Lineage: Bacteria; Bacillati; Bacillota; Clostridia; Eubacteriales; Clostridiaceae. RNAcentral also lists the same sequence under 1 other name. The record is from RNAcentral.
GGCCCCAUGGUCAAGAGGUUAAGACACGGCCCUUUCACGGCUGUAACAGGGGUUCGAAUCCCCUUGGGGUCACCA